RNAcentral lists this transfer RNA (73 nucleotides) under Candidatus Flexifilum breve. Its description in RNAcentral is "tRNA-Phe". It matches the Rfam family "tRNA". Rfam says of the family: Transfer RNA (tRNA) molecules are approximately 80 nucleotides in length. Their secondary structure includes four short double-helical elements and three loops (D, anti-codon, and T loops). The record is from RNAcentral. Lineage: Bacteria; Bacillati; Chloroflexota; Anaerolineae; Aggregatilineales; Candidatus Flexifilaceae.
GCCGCGGUAGCUCAGUUGGUAGAGCAAUGCACUGAAAAUGCAUGGGUCGCCGGUUCAAGUCCGGCUUGCGGCA